AGGACAACGGGAAUAUGAGGGAGAAAAGAGAGAUUGUAUCUUAUAAAUGUGUGUAUCUUUUGAAUCAAGGACCUCUGUUGACUGGU
Caenorhabditis elegans is the source of this 86-nucleotide non-coding RNA. The record is from Ensembl. Lineage: Eukaryota; Metazoa; Nematoda; Chromadorea; Rhabditida; Rhabditidae.